RNAcentral lists this ribosomal RNA (443 nucleotides) under uncultured bacterium. RNAcentral's name for it is "partial 16S ribosomal RNA". It matches the Rfam family "Bacterial small subunit ribosomal RNA", at positions 338 to 795 of the family's 1533-position model. The record is from RNAcentral.
CCUACGGGAGGCAGCAGUGGGGAAUAUUGGGCAAUGGGCGCAAGCCUGACCCAGCAACGCCGCGUGAAGGAAGAAGGCCCUCGGGUUGUAACCUUCUUUUAACAGGGACGAAGAAAGUGACGGUACCUGUUGAAUAAGACACGGCUAACUACGGGACAGCAGCCGCGGUAAUACGUAGGUGGCAAGCGUUAUCCGUAUUUACUGGGUGUAAAGGGAGUUUAGGCGGGAGAGCAAGUCAGACGUGAAAUUCCAGGGCUCAACCCUGGAACUGCGUUUGAAACAGUUCUUCUUGAGUGAUGGAGAGGCAGGCGGAAUUCCGUGUGUAGCGGUGAAAUGCGUAGAUCUACGGAGGAACACCAGUGGCGAAGGCGGCCUGCUAGACAUUAACUGACGCUGAGGCGCGAAAGCGUGGGGAGCAAACAGGAUUAGAUACCCGUGUAGUC